GACAAAAUAUUGCAUGUAUUGAUUGAAAAAUAUAAACACACGUGACAAUGUGUAACAUGUGUUGUGCAUUAGUAGGAAGACAAUAUAUGCACUUGUUCUAGCAUAACACUAAAAGGUAAGAUCAAUACUUUUAUAAACACUUAGUUACUAAUUUAUCUAAUUAGACAUAUUUGAUGUGUUACGAAAAGGUAUAACAUAUUCAACGCUGAGGUAUAAAUAAUAUGGGGACUGUGUCAAAACAUUUAUCGAUUAAACCGGUAAAGAAUCAUGCGUUGUUGUUAUUCAGCAUCUCACACUUAAAUUAUCUAAAUUCAGAACAUUUUGUUUUACAUCAAACGUUUUAAUGUUCUAUGAUAGCAUUUGGUCGUUAGUCAAGAAUGGGAAAUAUGUGUGUUUGUCUGUGUGUGUGAUUUGGGGAUUGGAUGUAUUCGUAUUGCAAGUAUUCACAUUCUGAAUUGAUAAAAUUUACAUGAUAGUAAGCAAGUUUAAAAUUUGUUAUUCAGUUUUGUACAAGUUUAAUGUGUCGCCCCAGUAUACUUGCACAUAACACUUCAGUUUCUAUAUAAGCUGCAAAUGACUUUAUAAACCAUCAUAUUCAAGCUCAUUUCUUUUUGAUAAUUAUCUAUCUGCUCUUGGUUUACAUGCACAGGGUUUGUGUCUCUAUGUAGGUGUAAAGCAUCCUGCCGAUAUUAUGAGUUAGUUCAUUUUUAUCACCAACGUUAACAGUGUUUUGUUACUUCACACCAGUGCCUGUGGUUAGGCGAGGACAGACCGCUCACUUUAAAUAAGAAGAUGUGGUAUGAGUGCAAAUGAGACAUCUCCAUCGAAGUCACUAUGUUUUAAACAGCCACAUUAUUGUUAAUAGUAUGGUCCGAGGUCUGGAGCCUUUUAUUAAGUGGGUUUAGUGCAUUUGUGUCUACCAUAUUUGUUUUCUGUUUCUUUGUUCGUCAUAAAUUAGGUUGUUGGUUUCAUCGUAUUUUUUUUAUGUCGAGGCCUUUUAAAACUUUUCUUUUUUCAAAGUUAAACAGUGGCAUAUAACUGCUGAAGUAAGCUCCCUUUGGACAGUUGUUGGAUAUCUUAGAUGUUCAUCCCUGUCAUUAAAGUACAUACAAAAUGCUCUAAGGUAAGGUGGGUGUGUAAAUAGUAGAUAUGAAUCGCUAUAUAUAUAUAUAAGCCGCAACGUUUAGUUUCAUGAAAAUAUAUACAGUGAUAGGUAGUAAAAAAAAAUGGAUUUUAGCAAGACCUUUGUAUUCAGUGUAAAAUACAUACUGACAUUUAUAAAAGAUCAAUACGUUUAUAAGUAUAUGUAUUUUGUGGCCAUAUGUUCACCAUAGGAUAACAUUGCUUAUAGCUUAUUAUACAAGGUUACAAUUAAUGAUUUAUCGUCCUUGACUUUUAAAAACUGUAUAAGAUAGACAUAAUUAUACUGUUAUGAAUUGAACGACCAAGUAAAUUUAAAGGACACAAAAUACAUGCAUAUAUAAUAUUGAAAUAAAUGUUAAAUUACGCAAUGGGCAAUUAACCAAAGUAAAUACAGCGGGUAAUAAAUUCCAUGCAUCUGAAGCGCUUUACUGAUUUCACCUUCACCAGAAAAGCUCAAGGUCGAAUAUUUGAAAACCAACGAAGUACAAGAACUAUAACAGUUAAAUUGCUAUAUCAGAAGACCUGAAAAAAAUGGCCAAUCCAUUUUUUAUGUUUAAAAGGGAUAAGUAAUUCGGGGAGGCUGCAUAACAUUUUCGAUAAACAAAUUGCCCGAAAGAGGGGACAUGACAUAACUCACAAAAUAUAACCUAUACACUAUAAUGGUCGCGCUGUUUUGGGGUUUUUCGAUCUAGUGAUCAAUCUAAUAAUUUUUUAAAGUACAUGUAAUUAAAAUUAUUCUAUUUUACUAUUAGUUAUCUGAAUGGCAUCCUUCUUCUUUCGUUUUAAUGAGCUUAAGAUACAGUUUGCAUUGACAAACAAAAAUCAAGAACAAUUGGCCAAAAAUAUUAAGAAUACAGGAAAAUGGGACAAACAAAAGUGUGUGAUUGAUGGCAAUAAUAAAUUAAAAAAAACAAUAAUAAGUAAAAAUGUAGAAAAAAACUUACCUGGAGUAGGGGAAAUAAGGCCCAAAUAUUAAUGUAAAUUUAAAAGUUAUCAGAAUUCAAAACUCUCAAAUUUAAAGACAAAUCCUAUUCUGCUUCGAAUUCCGGUUAGUGCAUUGUAGUAUUUAUAAUUACACACAAUAGUUAAUAUUCUGUCCCUCUCCUGUUCCUACCUAUUUAUGUAUUACAAAUCUUCGUGUUUGAUUUGGCAAUAUCUGGUAUUUCUAAGAUGAUUAAUCUAUAAUUUUUAAUAAAUUCCUUGUUAAACAAUUUUGAUGUAAUUUUGUUAUCCUUUCAGAAAAUCCCCAUUAAAAAGCUAUGGGUAAAGGUCAAGGAGGAGGACGAUCUGCAGCAGGUUGCCUGUCAGCUAUCAUAUGGUUUCUUCUGAUAUUUCUGGCAUGGCCGUUAGCAUUUUUACUUUCCUUUGUAUACAUAUUCCUGUUACCAUUUGGAGCAUGCAUAGACCCUAUUAGAUCCAUAAAUGAACAAUUGGUGCGCAUACUACAACUUCCAUAUACCUGUGCUCAGAACAUGAUGACCAUGAAACCUCUUUGCUAAAUGUAGUUUGUCUCCG
RNAcentral lists this long non-coding RNA (2658 nucleotides) under Mytilus galloprovincialis (Mediterranean mussel). The record is from RNAcentral. Lineage: Eukaryota; Metazoa; Mollusca; Bivalvia; Mytilida; Mytilidae.